GUGAGUCAUCGAAUCUUUGAACGCACAUUGCGCCCCCUGGCAUUCCGGGGGGCACACCUGUUCGAGCGCCAUUUCGACCCUCAAGCACGGCUUGGUGUUGGGCGCGGUCUUUACCGACCUGCCCGUAACUCGUAGGCGGCCGCCGCCCGCGCCCCCAGCGUAGCAAGCACACGCGUUCGCUCGGGGACGGUGCGCGCCCGGCCGCCCACAACACUUCAAGGUUUGGCCUCGGAUCAGGUGGGGAUACCCGCUGAACUUAAGCAUAUCAAUAAGCGGAGGA
Molecule: unclassified non-coding RNA, 280 nt
Filed under: fungal sp.
Lineage: Eukaryota; Fungi
Description: partial contains 5.8S ribosomal RNA, internal transcribed spacer 2, and large subunit ribosomal RNA
Rfam family: 5.8S ribosomal RNA (bases 1-71)
Source: RNAcentral